Molecule: ribosomal RNA, 1397 nt
Filed under: Enterobacter sp. II
Lineage: Bacteria; Pseudomonadati; Pseudomonadota; Gammaproteobacteria; Enterobacterales; Enterobacteriaceae
Description: bacterial SSU rRNA
Rfam family: Bacterial small subunit ribosomal RNA (bases 370-1397)
Source: RNAcentral
GCAGCUCGCCAUUGGUCCCUCGAACGAGGACCCACUGCUCGCCGCCUGCCCACUCAUUACAGACCCUUUGACGGACUACCUCCCCCUAUUGAUGACCUUUGCCAUCGAUUAUGGCGUAUUACAGCGUUCUGGUUUCUCCCCCUGGAAGCCCGGAGAACGGUAGUGUACACGGGUCUACCCUAAUCGAUCAUCCACCCCAUUACCCAGUGGAUCCGCUGUUAGGGAUCGACCAGACUCUCCUACUGGUCGGUGUGACCUUGACUCUGUGCCAGGUCUGAGGAUGCCCUCCGUCGUCACCCCUUAUAACGUGUUACCCGCGUUCGGACUACGUGGGUACGGCGCACAUACUUUUUUCGGAAGCCCAACAUUUCAUGAAAGUGGCUCCUCCUUCCGUAAUUCCAAUUAUUGGAACCACUAACUGCAAUGAGCGUCUUUUUUGUGGCCGAUUGAGGCACGGUCGUCGGCGCCAUUAUGCCUCCCACGUUCGCAAUUAGCCUUAAUGACCCGCAUUUCGCGUGCGUCCGCCAGACAGUUCAGACUACACUUUAGGGGCCCGAGUUGGACCCUUGACGUAAGAUUUGACCGUCCGAUAUCAGAACAUAUCCCCCCAUCUUAAGGUCCACAUAGCCGGUGAAAUGCGUAGAGAUCUGGAGGAAUACCGGUGGCGAAGGCGGCCCCCUGGACAAAGACUGACGCUCAGGUGCGAAAGCGUGGGGAGCAAACAGGAUUAGAUACCCUGGUAGUCCACGCCGUAAACGAUGUCGACUUGGAGGCUGUUCCCUUGAGGAGUGGCUUCCGGAGCUAACGCGUUAAGUCGACCGCCUGGGGAGUACGGCCGCAAGGUUAAAACUCAAAUGAAUUGACGGGGGCCCGCACAAGCGGUGGAGCAUGUGGUUUAAUUCGAUGCAACGCGAAGAACCUUACCUACUCUUGACAUCCAGGGAACUUAGCAGAGAUGCUUUGGUGCCUUCGGGAACCGUGAGACAGGUGCUGCAUGGCUGUCGUCAGCUCGUGUUGUGAAAUGUUGGGUUAAGUCCCGCAACGAGCGCAACCCUUAUCCUUUGUUGCCAGCGAUUCGGUCGGGAACUCAAAGGAGACUGCCAGUGAUAAACUGGAGGAAGGUGGGGAUGACGUCAAGUCAUCAUGGCCCUUACGAGUAGGGCUACACACGUGCUACAAUGGCGCAUACAAAGAGAAGCGACCUCGCGAGAGCAAGCGGACCUCAUAAAGUGCGUCGUAGUCCGGAUUGGAGUCUGCAACUCGACUCCAUGAAGUCGGAAUCGCUAGUAAUCGUAGAUCAGAAUGCUACGGUGAAUACGUUCCCGGGCCUUGUACACACCGCCCGUCACACCAUGGGAUUGGCUACAUAGAUAUAAGGUGUCCUUACCGUUCGGCAA